RNAcentral lists this long non-coding RNA (548 nucleotides) under Oryza brachyantha (malo sina). RNAcentral describes it as "long non-coding RNA (OBRA_LNC001598)". Lineage: Eukaryota; Viridiplantae; Streptophyta; Magnoliopsida; Poales; Poaceae. The record is from RNAcentral.
CCUUCCUCUUCUGCCAUCGCCAUGCCGCGACCACCUCCUCCGCUGCUGGGACUUCCUCCUCCACAGCCGCUGCCCUGCCACGGUUUCCUCCUCCACAGCCGCCACUGCCAGUGCCAUGGCCAGCUCCGCCGGUAGUGGAGAGAAAAGGGGAGAAGAUGAGCCUGCGAGCCUACGAGAUUAGACGAGAGGAUCAAUUGAUCCAUCCCAAUGUGAAAAGAUAAAUUUACCCCUAUAAGAGGCAGAUAAGUUGCGGUGCCACCUCCACAAAACACCGGUACCGAUCGGUACCACCCCUCUCAUGUCUGUCCGAUCUGAACACGUGUACGACCCAAAUUUGGUACCGCUAGGUACCAGUACAAUAUGUGGGACUUAAAAAAAUCUCAUAAUUUAAACCAUGUAACUUUUUUAUAUAAAACUAACUAUCAAGUCCUAUGCAUAUAUAGGUAAAUAAGCCAUGAUCCAUUUCAUAUGUGAAUUUUACUAUGUGACCAUUGCCGAGAGUAAGUAUCAAAUUGAGGAGUUGUGUGACUGAAAUUUGCCGAGAGUAA